AACUCUGCAGGGAAGAAUAUAGGGAAAUAAACGCCUUCAUCUCUCUCUUGUCCCACCCGCAGAGCUCCUUCUGGGAUUCUCUAUUGGCUGAACUCAGCCAGAAGCUGCCAAGGGAGACCCCCACAACUGGAUGCAGCCCACUGAAGUCAGCUUCCUGGGGUGCGUAGCUGAAGGUAGCAGGGAGCAAAAAGAAUCUGAAGGGGAAGUGAACAAUGUAGAGCGUAUCUGUGCUGAAGACGUAAGGAGAGAGUGGAGGUCAGAAGCUGGCAUGGUCCCUGGUGCAUGUAUCAGCCGCUAAAGCUGGAGUGGAUGAAUCAGAACUUUCCCCAUGGGAGCAUUUAUAAAAAGGGGACACCCAGCGCAGAAGAUGUUUUCCAGGGAGAUCUCGGGGAGCCCAACAAGCCAAGAAGAGCAGAGCAAAGCAUUCCAAGGAAGGACUCUAAGUCUGCAACCGAGCACACACGAGCACAAGGAAAGACCAUGUGAAUACACAGCAAGAACGUGGUGCUCUGCAAGUCAGAAACAGACCCGUCAUCAGACACCAAAUCAGCCAGCACCUUGAUCUAGGAUUUCUGGCCUCCAAAACAGUGAGAAAAUAAAAUUCUGUUGUUUAAGCCAUG
This 620-nucleotide long non-coding RNA is filed under the name Homo sapiens (human). RNAcentral's name for it is "non-protein coding lnc-CRYBA4-9:2". Lineage: Eukaryota; Metazoa; Chordata; Mammalia; Primates; Hominidae. The record is from RNAcentral.